This is a long non-coding RNA of Heterocephalus glaber (naked mole-rat), 4223 nucleotides long. The record is from Ensembl. Lineage: Eukaryota; Metazoa; Chordata; Mammalia; Rodentia; Bathyergidae.
GGUAAGAGAAGGCAUGGGAGGGGGGAGUGAAGGAGACUUUUCUAGCCUUGACUUUCAACGGAGGCCACCCUGGGCUUGCUCUGUUUUCAUAAGCUUAAGGAGACAACACAGACCUUCUCAGAAAAAUAAAAACAAGCAGGUGAGUUCGCAGCCUUCCCCCAGGCGGAGUAGGGCUCGGGCUGCCAAGAAGGGCAGUUUCUGCCUCCAGCCGCGGAAGAGACGUCCAGCCGCCCCCCCCCCCCCCGCCGGUCCUGCUCGGGGCGGCCCGGAGGAGUCUCAACUUCGGAAGGCGCUGGAAAGGCGCCGGGGCCCCGCGGCGUGGGAGCUGCGCCCCGUGCCCACCCGGGCCCCAUCCCCGCAGACGGCGCGGAGCUCUCCGUCCCGCCCGCUGCGGAACCAGCAACUCGCCAAACUGGACUCGGGCGACGGCUCCGGCCCCUCCCGCGUCCGCUCGGCCGGGCUCGCGGCUCUGCCUCCUCUUCCCGCCCAGCUCUCUCCGGGCGCUGCGCUUCCAGCCGCGAUUCCCUCACCUCGGCCCUCCUGCCUCCCCGUCCUCCAGACUGGGGCGAAGCCCUGGGUACCACCGGGACGAGGUCCGCGCCCCGCAGCCCGGGACGAGAUCACCCAUCCCCGCCCGCCCGCCCGCCCCGCGGGCUCAGGCUCCCCAGCCUUGCUGCCCCGGCUGGCGGCGUGGCCUUACCGACUGCGCUCGACCCCGGGGCUCCUUUCCAGGGACCCAGCGGUGCCCGCUGCCGCCCCGAUUUCAGCAUCGCAGCCCGGCUCGCGCAGGGAGAGCAAAGUGAGGGCGCCCCCUCCCCUGCGCCUCCUUCCCGGCUCCGGGCCCGGCGCCCGGUUAAAGAGGAGAAGGGGAAGGUAUGCAAAUGACAAGCAAAUUGGAGGAGCCCGGCCGAGAGGCGGCUAUAAUAAACCAGACAAAGGCGCAGGGCUGGGGAGGAGCCCGGAGUUUGCGCCCGGGGAGGUGGGAAGGGGAGGCUCGUCGGAGAGCGGCGACCCUGGCGAACAAAAAGCGACCCGGUCUCCUGCGCGGUCCUCUCUCCCGAAAAGGGAGGGCGGAGACGCGGGGAGCAAGCGGACGCCUCCCCGCACCGCAGAAGCGGGACACAAAAGGUGACAAGUCCGGCGACCCCAGCCCCUGGCAGGCAGGGGAAGGAGAUAAAAGCCAGGGAUCCCUCAGCCUCGGGAGCGGGGCCGCGCCGCGCCGGGUCCCGGCUCGGAAAGUGUCCCGAGGCUGUGACGCGGUGCAUCCAACAUCACCACUUUCGGGGCGCGCGCGGCUGAGUGCGAGGCGCCGCUCCGUGCCACUCUCCCGCAGCCGCGCGCGAUCGGGGCAGGGGAGGCACUCGCGAGGGAGAGGUACUUACGGCGCGAGGGCGGCGGACGGGCCUCGCGCGCCCUCUCCCCUCGCUCGCUCUCCCUGUCGCCGGCAGGGAGCGGAAAACACGCGCGCGCUGGUUCGCGAGUGGCGGACGCGCGGGCGGAGCGGGCCGGUGAGUCGGCGCGGGCGGGCGCACCGGCCCCGGCUCCUGAGCGUGCGCCGCUCGGCUCGCCCGCUGCAGCGCCGUGGGUUUCCGAGCGCUCCCUCGGCUGAGGGCUCCGCUCCGCAAGAUUUACUUUAAGACGCAGCUGAAGGAAACAGGAAGACUGCACGUCACAGUCCGACUGACGUACCCGGCCCCAGCACCCAAUCGCGAGGCGCCUUCGGAUUCAAGGGGGGACGGCGAGGCAAGAGAACUUGGGAGGAAAAAAAUAUAUAAAAGGGGUGGGUGUGGGGGUGCGGGCUGGGGAGAGAGGAGGGAGAGCGGAGCGGCGGCUCCUCCCCGGCCCCCUCCCCGGCCGCGCUGCUCCGGGCGCUGCGACGCCGGCCGGGCCGCCGAGAGCCAUCUGCGGGCCGCGCGCCGCUCCCGGGCAGCCGGUCCUCGCCGCCGUGUACGCGCGUGUGUGUGUGUGCGCGCGUGUGUGUGCUUGUGCGUGUUUUUUUCCAUUUCCCAGAUACAGCUGAUCGGGUUCGCCCCGCGCCCCAGCGAGCGAGGGAGCGAGCGCUCCUCGGACUCGGGUGGAGGAAGGCACGGAAAAGUAUACUGGAGACAAAGUGGGGCUUUUCGGGGUGGCGGUGAUGCAGAAGGAGGGAGUGGAGGGUCCACAAAUCAGUCCGUUUUUAGAGCGAUCCUGGGUAGGAGCCGCAAUACAUGUCACGCUUCCUUUUAAAGAGGGGGUGGACUGUGAGAUGCAGGUAGGUCUGGGAUUAAAAUGAUACGUGCGGAGGUUUAACGCUGAGCUCGCUGCAUCCGAUAUAAAGGAGCAACACUGGCUGAGCCCCAGUCAACCACCAGCAAGAUUACUGGGAACAAGAAUAUUUACACCCCCACCACCACCACCACCUCUGACAGGGUCCCUGGGACUAUGGAUACAGCAGCUAUUUAAAAGUAUAUGUUACAAACAUUAUCUCGCUCAGUGUCCCCAGACCGACUCAGGAGCGCAGUCCAACACUGGAUUUACACGAUUUUGACACCUGGGUAACAAAGUUUAAAGUUUAUUAGGCAAGACAUAUCAAACGCUAGAAUCUCAGACUCCAACUUGAAACCGAAGAAAGUUCAUUUUGGCUUGACUUUCUGAGAUGAGAAAUACCCAGCACGGGUUCUCUAGAUAAGGCAGCUCUGGGCUUUGCAAGGUAACAGACGCUGAAGAGAGAGCCUCCAGCCACAGAGAGAAGAUGCCUUUCGCUGGGGACAGUAAACGGCUUUUAAUAAAGCAGGCGAGUUUAUCACUUAAAGAUCCUAUAAAAGCUAGGGCUCGCAGGAGCUGGGAAGUAGAAACUUUCAUGCCUACUCCAGUAGAUGCAUGUUUUUUAGGUUGAACGGGGACCAGCAGUUUUCCUGCGUCCCUCACAUUUAGUCAGAUCAAAGGUUGAAUCGUGUGUUGUGACAAGAGUAUUUAUGAGGUUCGUUGCUAGAACCCCAGGCUGGCUGGCUAUUACCACCAUCUUCUGCGACGGGGGGGGGGGGGGACACCACGCCUUUCUAGGACAUUUACAAUUUCAGCUUCAGGUUCAUCAAACUGUGAAGAGAUAGGAAGUCUCCUCUUUGAAUCAGAACAGCGGUGUUAGUAUGUCACAGUGUAUACUCUGUGGGAAACUUUAGGCACGGAAUUCAAACGUUAAGAAGAGGAGGAGGAAGAGGAGGAGGAAUAAUAAGGUCAACCAGGUUGGUGUCAGCAAUAAGAAAGGCUUUCAGGAGCAUCACCAGCCCUCUGCAGGCCCUUUCCCGCCCCCAGACACCCCUCCCUCCACCGUGCAAAUGCUCACCCUCACACUCAUGCCUCCAGCGAUCGCUAGGCUAGUGUAUCCAGUGUUCUAAUGGGGACGUGACAGUUUAGGCUGGGAACUGAAAUGGCUCCCAACAUGCCCAUGAGCUGCAGUGUGGAAUAAUAAUGCUUCUAUUGGUUGGGUCCCUUUCGAGGGCGGAGUACGGUGCUCGAGGCAAGACUGGUGACCAGGAAACCAGGGUGGUUUGAUGUGAAGCAGUUGAUCCCAAGAACUGCGAAUCAUCAGAAUCACCAAAGGAGCUUUCAAAAGUAAAAUACUAAUAAAAAUGUCUGGGUCUGCCCCAGAUAGGAGAUCAGUAGGGAGGGCCCGGGAAUGGGGGCAGGCACACCUCUUCUCUAGUCACCGCUCAGUGGUCACUGUUUCUGUGACCUUGGGGUGUCACCCUGUCUGAGCCUCAGUUGUCCAUCUGCAAAAUGGAGUGAUACCCAAGUCAUCGAGUUAUCGAGAGGCUUCUACACAGCACGAUUGUUCAGUACACCAUCGGUGCUCACGAUACAGAAUCCACUGCACACGUGCUAAAGUACGUGGAAUGUACAUCCAGGUGCACUUUUGAGCUUAGGAAGAGGGGCUGUCUUGGGCAUUUUAUAUCCCCACCCUCCUCAUAUAUUGUAUACCUUCUAGGCCAAAAAAGCAUAAAUUAGACUUGUGCAUGUUUGGAAGCCAGGCCUUGUGUUCCUGGACCUAGAACUGUCCACCAGGGCCAGUGGCCCACAGCGACCUUUUACCACCCUGAAAUCUACUUUUAUUCUGCACUCUUUGGCUCUUUCACAUUCCCUUCUGUGUGGAUGGCGAACCUUUCUAACAGCAGCUGCAGUCAGCCCAGUGAGACCACGGGACAAAAAGGUCUAUUCACAGGGGAGCAACAAGCAGGAAAAAAGGU